This 253-nucleotide ribosomal RNA is filed under the name uncultured bacterium. RNAcentral describes it as "partial 16S ribosomal RNA". It matches the Rfam family "Bacterial small subunit ribosomal RNA", at positions 524 to 776 of the family's 1533-position model. The record is from RNAcentral.
UACGUAGGGGGCAAGCGUUGUCCGGAUUUAUUGGGCGUAAAGAGCGUGUAGGCGGCCAGGUAGGUCAGCUGUGAAAACUCGAGGCUCAACCUCGAGACGCCGGUUGAAACCAUCUGGCUAGAGUCCGGAAGAGGAGAGUGGAAUACCCAGUGUAGCGGUGAAAUGCGUAGAGAUUGGGUGGAACACCGGUGGCGAAGGCGGCUAUCUGGCUCACAACUGACGAUCAGGCACGAAAGCGUGGGGAGCAAACAGG